UACAGGAUUAGAUACCCUGGUAGUCCACGCCGUAAACGAUGAACACUAGUUAUUGGGGGUAAUUGACUCCUUCAGUGACGCAGCUAACGCAUUAAGUGUUCCGCCUGGGGAGUACGGUCGCAAGACUAAAACUCAAACAAAUUGACGGGGGCCCGCACAAGCGGUGGAUUAUGUGGUUUAAUUCGAAGCAACGCGCAGAACCUUACCUAGGCUUGAACUCCUACGAACCUGACGUAAUGGUCGGGGUGUCCGCAAGGAAAUGUAGUGAGAGGUGCUGCAUGGCUGUCGUCAGCUCGUGUUGUGAAAUGUUGGGUUAAGUCUCGCAACGAGCGCAACCCCUAUCGUCUGUUGCCAGCAUUAAGUUGGGCACUCUGACGAGACUGCCUGGGUUAACCAGGAGGAAGGUGGGGAUGACGUCAAGUCCUCAUGGCCCUUAUGUCUAGGGCUACACACGUAAUACAAUGGCGCGUACAGAGGGAAGCGAACUCGCAAGGGGGAGCAAAUCUCAAAAAGCGCGCCUCAGUUCGGAUUGGAGUCUGCAACUCGACUCCAUGAAGUUGGAAUCGCUAGUAAUCGGAGAUCAGCACGCUCCGGUGAAUACGUUCCCGGGCCUUGUACACACCGCCCGUCACACCAUGGGAGUUGUUUUCAUUUUAAGACGUGACUCUAACCGCAAGGAGGAGAGCGUCUACAGUGGGAGCGAUGACUGGGGUGAAGUCGUAACAAGGUAACC
Molecule: ribosomal RNA, 733 nt
Filed under: uncultured bacterium
Lineage: Bacteria
Description: bacterial SSU rRNA
Rfam family: Bacterial small subunit ribosomal RNA
Source: RNAcentral